GACGAACGCUGGCGGCGUGCUUAACACAUGCCAGUCGAACGGAAAGGCCCUGCUUUUGUGGGGUGCUCGAGUGGCGAACGGGUGAGUAACACGUGAGUAACCUGCCCUUGACUUUGGGAUAACUUCAGGAAACUGGGGCUAAUACCGGAUAGGAGCUCCUGCUGCAUGGUGGGGGUUGGAAAGUUUCGGCGGUUGGGGAUGGACUCGCGGCUUAUCAGCUUGUUGGUGGGGUAGUGGCUUACCAAGGCUUUGACGGGUAGCAGGCCUGAGAGGGUGACCGGCAAAAUGGGGACGGAGAGAGGGACAAGACGCGAAGGGGAGGAAGAAGGGGGGAAAAGUGAAGAAUGGGCGGAAGCCUGAGGCAGCAAGGCGGCGAGCGGGAUGACGGCCUUCGGGUUGAAAACAGAUUUCGAAGGUGAAGAAGAGUGAGUGACGGUAAUGGGUAAAGAAGCACCGGCUAACUACGUG
RNAcentral lists this ribosomal RNA (468 nucleotides) under uncultured bacterium. RNAcentral's name for it is "partial 16S ribosomal RNA". It matches the Rfam family "Bacterial small subunit ribosomal RNA", at positions 28 to 507 of the family's 1533-position model. The record is from RNAcentral.